CCUACGGGAGGCAGCAGUAAGGAAUAUUGGUCAAUGGAGGCAACUCUGAACCAGCCAUGCCGCGUGCAGGAUGACGGCCCUAUGGGUUGUAAACUGCUUUUAUACAAGAGAAAACCCUGGUACGUGUACCAGGUUGAUAGUAUUGUAAGAAUAAGCAUCGGCUAACUUCGUGCCAGCAGCCGCGGUAAGACGAAGGAUGCAAGCGUUAUCCGGAUUCAUUGGGUUUAAAGGGUGCGUAGGCGGACUGAUAAGUCAGUGGUGAAAUCUCUUUGCUUAACAAAGAAACUGCCAUUGAUACUGUCGGUCUAGAGUAUAGAUGACGUUGGCGGAAUAUGACAUGUAGUGGUGAAAUACUUAGAUAUGUCAUAGAACACCGAUUGCGAAGGCAGCUAACGAAACUAUAACUGACGCUGAGGCACGAAAGUGCGGGGAUCAAACAGGAUUAGAUACCCUGGUAGUCCGCACCGUAAACGAUGAUUACUCGUUGUUGGCGAUAUGACAGUCAGCGACCAAGCGAAAAGCGAUAAGUAAUCCACCUGGGGAGUACGCCGGCAACGGUGAAACUUAAAGAGUAGUAGGACGUGAGAGUUAGCGACGAGGACACAGGGAGGGUAGAG
This 617-nucleotide ribosomal RNA is filed under the name uncultured bacterium. RNAcentral describes it as "bacterial SSU rRNA". It matches the Rfam family "Bacterial small subunit ribosomal RNA", at positions 338 to 955 of the family's 1533-position model. The record is from RNAcentral.